RNAcentral lists this ribosomal RNA (28 nucleotides) under Erysiphe neolycopersici. Its description in RNAcentral is "Oidium neolycopersici partial 28S ribosomal RNA". Lineage: Eukaryota; Fungi; Ascomycota; Leotiomycetes; Helotiales; Erysiphaceae. The record is from RNAcentral.
UGACCUCGAAUCAGUAGAAACGAGUUUU